Trichosporon asahii var. asahii CBS 2479 is the source of this 87-nucleotide non-coding RNA. Lineage: Eukaryota; Fungi; Basidiomycota; Tremellomycetes; Trichosporonales; Trichosporonaceae. The record is from the annotation of a RefSeq genome assembly.
AUUUAACAUCAUAACUACGAAUAAGAAUAAAAUUGCAAUCGCACCUACAUAUACAAUUAAAUAUGAAAUCCCAAUGAAACCAAUACC